GACGAACGCUGGCGGCGUGCUUAACACAUGCAAGUCGAGCGGUAAGGCCCUUUCGGGGGUACACGAGCGGCGAACGGGUGAGUAACACGUGGGUGACCUGCCCUCAGCUCUGGGAUAAGCCUGGGAAACUGGGUCUAAUACUGGAUAUGACUCCACGGUGCAUGUCGUGGGGUGGAAAGCCUUGUGCGGCUGAGGAUGGGCCCGCGGCCUAUCAGCUUGUUGGUGGGGUGANGGCCUACCAAGGCGACGACGGGUAGCCGGCCUGAGAGGGCGACCGGCCACACCGGGACUGAGACACGGCCCAGACUCCUACGGGAGGCAGCAGUGGGGAAUCUUGCGCAAUGGGCGAAAGCCUGACGCAGCGACGCCGCGUGA
This 375-nucleotide ribosomal RNA is filed under the name uncultured bacterium. Its description in RNAcentral is "bacterial SSU rRNA". It matches the Rfam family "Bacterial small subunit ribosomal RNA", at positions 28 to 404 of the family's 1533-position model. The record is from RNAcentral.